GUGCAAGGGAUGUGGGCAAUAAACAGGAGCUCCUGUACCCUUCGAGUGUUAAAACCUUGUUCAGCGUAACAGAGCUUGGACACUUCAGUGAAGUGAUUAGAAAUGCUGCACUACCAAGGAAUGUUCAAGUACACAGCUUUUACUACCAUGAAUAUUCAUGACUUCAGGCUUUGGAGGUGAAGUGCUCAGCUAAUUCAACAAAGUCAGCUUCAAAAUUGCACUUCUUUCUGCACUUCAGCAGUUUGUGAAGACAAAUUUAAGCAAUGAAUGUCUACACCUGAAUGAUGGAGGCAGAGAAAACACCAUUUUAGGGGACAACAGAUUUCAGUAUCGGAAGAGAAGGGACAUUUGGAAAUCCACCAGUGCUUGCUGCUUGAGGAAGGUGAGGCACACCGUGGGAUUUUCUCUCUCCUUCGGAAAGAAGCAGACCGUUGUCAGAAACUGAAUACCACACUGACUGUAACAGUGGAUUUGGUUUGCAGCUCCUUUGUUGUCUUUUAAUAACAAAAUAAUUAUAUUCCUAUAUUGAAGCGUCACAGCAAAAAGAAACUUGAAGCACGAAUUUAAAUAAAAUUAGCUUGUUAGUGGUGGUUUUUAGGAGUCUUAUUUUUUUCCCUCAGCUCCCAUCCUAUUUUUUUUUUAAAUUUCUCCAGGGCAUGUCAUAUAUAGUGAAAAAUCUCAAUGGAGGCCCACAGGUAUCACUGCUGUUUAGUCAGACUUCAAAUUGGGCUCUAAUGGUUUUAGAUAGAAGAGCAGAUGGAGAGGGUUUGUUCACUAGUCGGUGCCCUUGCCUCAGAGUUCACCUCAAGUUGUUUUCAGAAAUUCUCACUUCGUGCACAUUACUUAUUUAUAUCAUCACUUUUUUUUCCCACUUCAUAGAUAAUUGCUACUUAAUUGAUACUGCCUUUAUACAAGCCUCCACAAUAGAAAGCAACAAGACACACUGCUAAAUAGAGGAAU
Long non-coding RNA from Chroicocephalus ridibundus (black-headed gull), 960 nucleotides. RefSeq lists it as uncharacterized. The record is from RefSeq and is a predicted model, not a curated record. Lineage: Eukaryota; Metazoa; Chordata; Aves; Charadriiformes; Laridae. The transcript has 5 exons.